RNAcentral lists this ribosomal RNA (443 nucleotides) under uncultured bacterium. Its description in RNAcentral is "partial 16S ribosomal RNA". It matches the Rfam family "Bacterial small subunit ribosomal RNA", at positions 338 to 795 of the family's 1533-position model. The record is from RNAcentral.
CCUACGGGUGGCAGCAGUGGGGAAUAUUGGGCAAUGGAGGAAACUCUGACCCAGCAACGCCGCGUGAAUGAUGAAGGUCUUCGGAUUGUAAAGUUCUUUUCUCAGGGAAGAAGAAUGUGACUGUUCCUCAGCAAUAAGCCUCGACUAACUACGUGCCAGCAGCCGCCGUAAUACGUAGGAGGCGAGCGUUAUCCGGAAUGACUGGGCGCAAAGGGUUCGUAGGUGGUAUGGCAAGUUAGUGGCGAAACUCCAGGGCUCAACCUUGGAACUACUCCUAAAACUGUUGGACGGGAGUGCGGGAGAGGAGAGCGGAAUUCCUAGUGUAGCAGUGGAAUGCGUAGAUAUUAGGAGGAACACCAGGGGCGAAGGCGAGUUGCUAGAAUGUAACUGACGCUGAGGCACGAAAGCGUGGGGAGCAAACAGGAUUAGAUACCCGUGUAGUC